UCCCUGGUGGCUUAGUUGGUAAAGAAUCUUCCUGCAAUGUAGGAGACCCAGGUUUGAUCCCUGGGUGGGGAA
This 72-nucleotide transfer RNA is filed under the name Bos taurus (domestic cattle). It matches the Rfam family "tRNA". From Rfam's summary of the family: Transfer RNA (tRNA) molecules are approximately 80 nucleotides in length. Their secondary structure includes four short double-helical elements and three loops (D, anti-codon, and T loops). RNAcentral also lists the same sequence under 5 other names. The record is from Rfam by way of RNAcentral. Lineage: Eukaryota; Metazoa; Chordata; Mammalia; Artiodactyla; Bovidae.